This is a small nucleolar RNA of Oryctolagus cuniculus (rabbit), 92 nucleotides long. Its record names the gene SNORD116. It matches the Rfam family "Small nucleolar RNA SNORD116". Rfam says of the family: HBII-85 is a member of the C/D class of snoRNAs, which contain the C (UGAUGA) and D (CUGA) box motifs. HBII-85 is encoded in a tandemly repeated array with another C/D snoRNA, HBII-52, in the Prader-Willi syndrome (PWS) region of chromosome 15. Unlike most other snoRNAs, HBII-85 is expressed prevalently in the brain (but is absent in PWS patients) and lacks any significant complementarity with ribosomal RNA. NCBI's taxonomy places the organism in Eukaryota, Metazoa, Chordata, Mammalia, Lagomorpha, Leporidae. The record is from Ensembl.
GGGCUGAUGAUGACUCCUGCAAAUACAUUCCUUCAUAGCUGAACAAAAUGAGUGAAAACCCUAUACUGUCUUUCUCAUCACGACUAAGGUCC